Long non-coding RNA from Oncorhynchus keta (chum salmon), 534 nucleotides. RefSeq lists it as uncharacterized. The transcript is spliced from 8 exons. The record is from RefSeq and is a predicted model, not a curated record. NCBI's taxonomy places the organism in Eukaryota, Metazoa, Chordata, Actinopteri, Salmoniformes, Salmonidae.
CUUGGUCAGUAGAGGAGUGGUGUGUGUAGGGCAGGUGGGGAGAGAGAGAGGUGAGUCAGAGGAGGAGUGGUGUGUGUAGGGCAGGUGGGGAGAGAGAGAGGUGAGUCAGAGGAGGAGUGGUGUGUGUAGGACAGGUGGGGAGAGAGAGAGGUGAGUCAGAGGAGGAGUGGUGUGUGUAGGGCAGGUGGGGAGAGAGAGAGGUGAGUCAGAGGAGGAGUGGUGUGUGUGGGACAGGUGGGGAGAGAGAGAGGUGAGUCAGAGGAGGAGUGGUGUCUGUAGGGCAGGUGGGGAGAGAGAGAGGUGAGUCAGAGGAGGAGUGGUGUGUGUAGGGCAGGUGGGGAGAGAGAGAGGUGAGUCAGAGGAGGAGUGGUGUCUGUAGGGCAGGUGGGGAGAGAGAGAGGUGAGUCAGAGGAGGAGAGAUGUGUGCCCCUCCCUCUCCGGAGAUGCUGGAGAACUCUUUGAGAGGGGGGUGUGUGGAUGGGUGAGGAGGGAGGGGUGUGUGUGUGUAGUCAGAUAGAGGAGUGUGUGUGUAGU